UGGACAGAUUAUUGUAUUCGAUGUAUUCACGGGGUGAAACAGGGGGUUACACUGUUUUUAAACAGAAAGUGAAUCAAUUAACAUAAUAGACUCAU
RNAcentral lists this microRNA precursor (95 nucleotides) under Nicotiana sylvestris (wood tobacco). Its description in RNAcentral is "MIR6152 microRNA precursor family". It matches the Rfam family "MIR6152 microRNA precursor family". Lineage: Eukaryota; Viridiplantae; Streptophyta; Magnoliopsida; Solanales; Solanaceae. The record is from Rfam by way of RNAcentral.